This 292-nucleotide small RNA is filed under the name Callithrix jacchus (white-tufted-ear marmoset). RNAcentral's name for it is "Metazoan signal recognition particle RNA (ENSCJAG00000077022.1)". Lineage: Eukaryota; Metazoa; Chordata; Mammalia; Primates; Cebidae. The record is from Rfam by way of RNAcentral.
GCUGGGCAUGGUGGCGCACGCCUGUAGUCCCAGCUACUCGGGACGCUGAGGCAAGAGAAUUGCUUGAACCCAGGAGGCGGAGGUUGCAGUGAGCCAAGAUCGUGCCAUUGCACUCCAGCCUGGGUAACAAGAGUGAAACUCUGUCUCAAAAAAAAAAAAGUUUCUCUUUAAUUUUUUUUUUUUUUUUUUUUGGAGACUGGGUCUUGCUCUGUCACCCAGCCUGGAGUGCAGUGGCGUGAUCUCAGCUCACUGCAACCUCUGCCUCCUGGGUUCAAGCAAUUCUCUGUCUCAG